UAUAUUUUAGUAUAUGAUGUACAGGAAUUUUUGAUGUUUCAGGCAAUAGUUUAAUUCUAUUAAAUAUAA
RNAcentral lists this transfer RNA (69 nucleotides) under Pelecyphorus foveolatus. RNAcentral's name for it is "tRNA-Gln". The record is from RNAcentral. Lineage: Eukaryota; Metazoa; Arthropoda; Insecta; Coleoptera; Tenebrionidae.